Molecule: transfer RNA, 71 nt
Filed under: Marmota marmota marmota (Alpine marmot)
Lineage: Eukaryota; Metazoa; Chordata; Mammalia; Rodentia; Sciuridae
Also listed under: 1 other name
Rfam family: tRNA
About the family: Transfer RNA (tRNA) molecules are approximately 80 nucleotides in length. Their secondary structure includes four short double-helical elements and three loops (D, anti-codon, and T loops).
Source: Rfam by way of RNAcentral
GGGGUUGUGGCUCGGAGGUAGAGCACCCGCCUAGCAUGCGUGAGGCACUAGGUUCGAUCCUCAGCACCCCA